RNAcentral lists this ribosomal RNA (253 nucleotides) under uncultured bacterium. Its description in RNAcentral is "partial 16S ribosomal RNA". It matches the Rfam family "Bacterial small subunit ribosomal RNA", at positions 524 to 776 of the family's 1533-position model. The record is from RNAcentral.
UACAGGGGGUGCAAACGUUGCUCGGAAUCAUUGGGCGUAGAGCGCACGUAGGCGGUUCGUUAUGUCGGAUGUGAAAGCCCUUGGCUUAACCGAGGAAGUGCAUCCGAAACUGGCGAGCUAGAGUACUAAAGAGGAUCGCGGAAUUCCCGGUGUAGAGGUGAAAUUCGUAGAUAUCGGGAGGAACACCGGUGGCGAAGGCGGCGAUCUGGGUAGAUACUGACGCUGAGGUGCGAAAGCGUGGGGAGCAAACAGG